UGGUUCUCAGCCAUCGCUUUGUGGAUCAAAAGGAAUUUGCCAAAACACCCCUGGUAGUUUUACCUGUGAAUGUCAAAGGGGAUUUUCUCUGGAUUCCACUGGAUUAAACUGCGAAGAUGUGGAUGAAUGUGACGGAAACCAUAGGUGCCAGCAUGGCUGUCAAAACAUCCUGGGUGGAUACAGAUGUGGGUGCCCACAAGGAUAUAUUCAGCAUUACCAGUGGAAUCAAUGUGUUGAUGAAAAUGAAUGCUCCAAUCCUAACACAUGCGGCUCUGCUUCUUGCUACAACACAC
RNAcentral lists this long non-coding RNA (293 nucleotides) under Aquila chrysaetos chrysaetos. RNAcentral describes it as "lncRNA (ENSACCG00020016452.1)". Lineage: Eukaryota; Metazoa; Chordata; Aves; Accipitriformes; Accipitridae. The record is from RNAcentral.